This is a long non-coding RNA of Phragmites australis (common reed), 618 nucleotides long. RefSeq lists it as uncharacterized. The record is from RefSeq and is a predicted model, not a curated record. The transcript has 3 exons. NCBI's taxonomy places the organism in Eukaryota, Viridiplantae, Streptophyta, Magnoliopsida, Poales, Poaceae.
UUCGUUCGACUGUGGGCUCCGAUAGGACGCCGAGGAAGGAGAUGGAGCUGUCGGUCGGAUCGUGCCGGUGCCACUUCUUCGACAGGUGAGGGGACCUUCCGCUGCAGCUGGGUGGCGGUGGUGGGGAGCACUGGGCCGACGAGGUGUUGAGGAGGUUCCUCAUACUGGUACAGUGGAAGGGGAAGCCACGGAGAGUGGAUCGAUAUCUUCCGAGGAGUAGUUUGUUUGUUUGGUUUCACCUGGAAUUUACUGUAUCGAAAUUUGAUGUUGAACGAUUGGAAAUUUGAGAGCUCUGUACACAACAACCUUGUUUUGGACUGCAGUUCUUCGGCAGCCCCAUCAAAAUACAGUAGAAAACUUUGUCCUGUAAGGCUGACACUCACUUCGUUCUGUUGUGCAGAUUUCAACAGUGAGUAUGAGAUGCAACAGCUUAGCAUAUGGACUGAUUUCUUGGUGGAGCCAUGAGACAACAUUUUUGCUGAACAAGAAGCUGGCUCCUUAUUUGUUACAUUUACUCACCAAGCGGUAUACUCCGUUUGCGUAAGCUACAGUUAUGCUGUUACGCGGUUAAUGAAUCUGACCAAUAACAUAACCUAUUCGUACUGUUUUGUGCAAUCC